AGUAACCUGCCUUGGAGUGGGGAAUAACAGCUGGAAACAGCUGCUAAUACCGCAUAAUAUAUCUGUGUCGCAUGGCACUGGAUAUCAAAGAUUUAUCGCUCUGAGAUGGACUCGCGUCUGAUUAGCUGGUUGGCGGGGUAACGGCCCACCAAGGCGACGAUCAGUAGCCGGACUGAGAGGUUGGCCGGCCACAUUGGGACUGAGACACGGCCCAGACUCCUACGGAAGGCAGCAG
Molecule: ribosomal RNA, 235 nt
Filed under: uncultured bacterium
Lineage: Bacteria
Description: partial 16S ribosomal RNA
Rfam family: Bacterial small subunit ribosomal RNA
Source: RNAcentral